ACGCUGGCGGCGUGCUUAACACAUGCAAGUCGAGCGGUAAGGCUCCUUCGGGAGUACACGAGCGGCGAACGGGUGAGUAACACGUGAGCAAUCUGCCCUUCACUUUGGGAUAACUCCGGGAAACCGGUGCUAAUACCGAAUGCGACCACUUCAGGCAUCUGACGGUGGUGGAAAGUUCCGGCGGUGAAGGAUGAGCUCGCGGCCUAUCAGCUUGUUGGUGAGGUAAUGGCUCACCAAGGCUUCGACGGGUAGCCGGCCUGAGAGGGUGACCGGCCACACUGGGACUGAGACACGGCCCAGACUCCUACGGGAGGCAGCAGUGGGGAAUAUUGGACAAUGGGCGAAAGCCUGAUCCAGCAACGCCGCGUGAGGGAUGACGGCCUUCGGGUUGUAAACCUCUUUCAGCAGGGACGAAGCGAAAGUGACGGUACCUGCAAAAGAAGCACCGGCCAACUACGUGCCAGCAGCCGCGGUAAUACGUAGGGUGCGAGCGUUGUCCGGAAUUAUUGGG
This 511-nucleotide ribosomal RNA is filed under the name uncultured bacterium. RNAcentral describes it as "bacterial SSU rRNA". It matches the Rfam family "Bacterial small subunit ribosomal RNA", at positions 33 to 558 of the family's 1533-position model. The record is from RNAcentral.